GAGAAACGAAGUCAGAAAACAGAUUUAAACCAAGUUUGAAACGGUGCCUCUGUUUGCUAGUACUGCGAGACAACGUCGUUACGUUGAAGGAAUGGAUGCUAAAACAAACUCUGGGUGAGACUGGACGCUGAACACACCAGCGGCGCGAAGGUUUACUGGUUCAGCUGCUGCAGCCUGGACAGAAACACCACCUCUCACCUUACAAACCAAACAGGUGUCACCACUUCAUCCACAAUCACAGAGAGUCUUCGUACAGUGAGGAAGUUCUUUGAGACCAGGACUGAGGCCUCCAGGAUUCAAACUUAAACCAUUAAAUCAGAGAGAGGGAGACGUGAAGACAUUUCCAGAAGGUCUUCAGCUGCUGUUGUCAUCUCCUUCUGCAGAGACAAUAACAUGUAUUAAUCACAGAAACUGAUCAGUAAAUGGUAAUAUUUUAACGACAUACUAUUCUCUGACAUUUUUUGAUGUUUUUUAUGCCUUUUUGCCAUUUUUGUCAGUUUUUGACAUCUCAUUUUUUGACUGAUCUGACACCUUACUAUACUAUAAGACUUAAGAGGCUUAGACAAAGGAACUCUCUUAAAGUAGCCAUCUUACCUUUGUUUUCCACAGACACACACAUUCACACCUCAACACUAGGGCAAUCGAAAUCGAACCGCAAUUGUGACUUGCAAGUUAGUUCAAAUCACAAUUUCAAUUAUUUUUACAACAGAGUCAGUGGACAUGUCGGUACACUUUUUUUAGCUGCCUCACAAUUCAACACACAGAGGACUGGCAGGAGCAACUGUAACUCUAACUGUAACGAACUGUGGAGUUAGAUACGUGAUGAAAACAGAGGGCAGAGCAACAGAGUGAUAACGUGACGCAGGCAGUGUGAGUCGCUCCAAUUCUCUCUGCUCUGGUGUCACGUUCUACCUGCAUGCCCAUCCUGAGGACGGACACAACUAAAGCUGAAACUACCGGUGAUAUGACGAGUUAAAAGCAGCUGACAGUGUCAACAGGCAUAAAUAUAUUGAUACAUAGAUAAUUGGAAUAAAUACAUUUUGGAUUUGUAUAUUUUCAUUGUCAUCCUUGGAUUAGUACACAGAGAAGUUAAUAUUUGGUUCAUAUCUUAAAAGGUAAUGCUCCAUCACGUUUUACAUGUAUAUAGUGAAUCCUGGACUGAAGCUUGACUUUCAAAAUAAUAUUGCAAAUAAAAUCACAAUUGCAAUAUCUGUCAUAUCUGUCAUGUUAUACCUUGUCUUGUAUAUAUAAUGCCUUCUUCUAUUUUUGCUGUUGCACCACUGAAUUUCCCCAUUGUGGGACUGAUAAAGGAUUAUCUUAUGCAAAUAAAUUCUUCUGAACACUGAAUAUUUUUGCCGGUCUGUUUAAUAUUGUAUGAAAGUGAAUAUUGUUAGCCAGAGGUCAGGGUUAAGGUUACGGCUUUUAGCCACUUGUAGACCGAGGUGAAGAUUACAGCUCUCAGCCAUUUUUAGGUUUAGGUUUUUAGCCAGAGAUUAGACGUUUUAACCCCAAUUAUACAUUUUAACUGCAAGCUGCAAGUAGAGAAUAUUUGGUAUUUCUGCAUUAUAAAAUGACUUUUGUGAUAGUAACUAGAAAAAAUACAUUGGUGGUUUUUGACCCCUUACUAUGCUAUGACAUUUUUUUUACAUUUUUCCACACCUUACUACACUAUGACAUUGUUUCAUGGUUUUUUAACG
Long non-coding RNA from Lates calcarifer (barramundi perch), 1697 nucleotides. RefSeq lists it as uncharacterized. NCBI's taxonomy places the organism in Eukaryota, Metazoa, Chordata, Actinopteri, Centropomidae. The transcript has 5 exons. The record is from RefSeq and is a predicted model, not a curated record.